Molecule: long non-coding RNA, 581 nt
Filed under: Chinchilla lanigera (long-tailed chinchilla)
Lineage: Eukaryota; Metazoa; Chordata; Mammalia; Rodentia; Chinchillidae
Description: lncRNA (ENSCLAG00000023688.1)
Source: RNAcentral
GGCUAGUCAAAAGUCUGAAGAAUAAUUAUGAAAACUGAGAAGAAUCACCUAGUCACCAUCAAUUUCACUAAGAGGAAGAAUUAAGGUGUUGAUGUAGACAGAAAGAAUUGCUGGUUCAGUUUGCAGGAGAAUUUCAGAGACUUUUUAUGACUGAGGGAAAUAUUUAAUUGAGGUGAUGUGAUACAAGAACAAGCAUGAAGAAACACACACUGGGGCUUUGUCAGCUUAGCAGUGCUCGCUCGAGGCUUGUGUUGAACUAAGAGAAUCUCAGCUGAAGGAGCGACCUCGGUUUAAUAAACAGUAAGAAGACCACAUAACCAGAGGAUUAAUCCCCAGAGGGCAAUCAUAUUUUUAGGAAGCACAUAGGAAAAAGAAUCGUUUAAAAAGCCACUGGAGCAUAUAUUUUUAAAUCUAAAAUUUUAAUCUGUAUAAUACAAUAGUUAUUAUUUUGGUUAUAAACAUAUUCUAUCUUUGACAGUCAAACUUUAAUAAAAGACAUACUCAGAUUUUUUAAAAUACUAUUUCAUCAUGCUUUAGGAGGAAACAAUGAAGAAUAAAAAUUUUAAAAUAAUGAAUAAGCA